Molecule: small nuclear RNA, 64 nt
Filed under: Mus pahari (shrew mouse)
Lineage: Eukaryota; Metazoa; Chordata; Mammalia; Rodentia; Muridae
Source: RNAcentral
AUGUUCACUUCAGCAGCACAUAUACUAAAAUUGGAAUGAUGCAGAGAAGAUUAGUAUGGCCUCU